This 1307-nucleotide ribosomal RNA is filed under the name Hydroporus sp. NHM-IR526. RNAcentral describes it as "16S ribosomal RNA". The stretch from base 1063 to 1221 matches the Rfam family "Archaeal large subunit ribosomal RNA", at positions 2544 to 2703 of the family's 2987-position model. Lineage: Eukaryota; Metazoa; Arthropoda; Insecta; Coleoptera; Dytiscidae. The record is from RNAcentral.
AAAUUAAAUAUUAUUUAUUUAAUUAGUUUAUUGUUUUUAAUAAAAAUAAUUUUAAAUAUAAAAUUUUAAGUAUUUUUUAAAGAAAAGAUUAUUAUAAUUAUAGAGUAUUAGUAUUGUAAAAGAAAUAUAAAAUAUAUUUAUUUUUAUUUAUAAGUAAAAUUAGUUUUUUGUACCUUGGGUAUCAGGGUUUAUUUAAUAAUAAUUAAUAAUAUUAAUUUUCCCGAAUUUAAAAGAGAGAAUAAAUAAUUUUUUUUAUUGUAAAAAAAAUAUUUAGAAUUAUUUAUUAGUAAUGAAAAGUUAUUCGUUUUUAAAUAUAUCUGGUUUAUAAAGAAAUAAAUUUAAUUUAAUUAAUUUUAUUUUAUUAAUUUAUUUUUUUAAAUUAAUAAAUUUUAUUAAUAAUAAUUAAAGGGAUAAGCUUUUAAUUAAAAUUUUAUAAUUUUUAGUAUUAAUAAAAAAUAUAUAGGUUUAGAAAUAUCCAUUAUUUUUAAUUUGUUGUAAUUAAUUUUUUAAUAAUUAAUAUUUUAUAAUAAUUUAAAAUUUAUAUUUAUAAAUAAUAUUUAAUUAAAUAAUAUUAGGUAUAAUGAUAAAAUUAGUAUAUAUAUAAAUAUAAAUAUUAUUUAUUUUUAGAUUAUUAAAAGGAAUUCGGCAAAAAUUUUAUUCGCCUGUUUAAUAAAAACAUGUCCUUUAGGUAAUUAUAAUUUAAGGUCUAACCUGCCCAUUGAUAAGUUAAAAGGCCGCAGUAAUUUGACUGUGCAAAGGUAGCAUAAUCAUUAGUUUUUUAAUUAAAAGCUUGUAUGAAUGGUUGGACGAGAUAAAAUCUGUCUCUUUAUAAAAAAUAGAAUUUAAUUUUUAAGUUAAAAAGCUUAAAUUUAUAUAAAAGACGAGAAGACCCUAUAGAUCUUUAUAAAAUUUUUUUUAAUAUUAAUAAAGAAAUUUUAAUUUAUUAUAAAAAUUUUUAUUAUAUUGGGGUAAUAAAAAGAUUAAUAUAAUUCUUUUUUUAAUAACAAUUAUUAUUGAUUAUAUGAUCCAUUAUUAAUGAUUAUAAGAUUAAGUUACCUUAGGGAUAACAGCGUAAUUUUUUUAGAGAGUUCUUAUCAAUAAAAGAGUUUGCGACCUCGAUGUUGGAUUAAAAGUAAUUCUAGGUGCAGAAGUUUAGAGUUUUGGUCUGUUCGACCAUUAAAUUUUUACAUGAUCUGAGUUUAGACCGGCGUAAGCCAGGUUGGUUUCUAUCUUUAUUUAUUUAAUAUAUUUUAGUACGAAAGGACCAAUUAUAUAAUAUAUAAAUAUUUAUUUUUUUGAAUUUAAUU